AGGAAUAUUGGUCAAUGGACGCAAGUCUGAACCAGCCAUGCCGCGUGCAGGAUGACGGCUCUAUGAGUUGUAAACUGCUUUUGUACGAGGGUAAACCCGGAUACGUGUAUCCGGCUGAAAGUAUCGUACGAAUAAGGAUCGGCUAACUCCGUGCCAGCAGCCGCGGUAAUACGGAGGAUUCAAGCGUUAUCCGGAUUUAUUGGGUUUAAAGGGUGCGUAGGCGGUUUGAUAAGUUAGAGGUGAAAUACCGGUGCUUAACACCGGAACUGCCUCUAAUACUGUUGAGCUAGAGAGUAGUUGCGGUAGGCGGAAUGUAUGGUGUAGCGGUGAAAUGCUUAGAGAUCAUACAGAACACCGAUUGCGAAGGCAGCUUACCAAACUAUAUCUGACGUUGAGGCACGAAAGCGUGGGGAGCAAACAGGAUUAGAUACCCUGGUAGUCCACGCAGUAAACGAUGAUAACUCGCUGUCGGCGAUACACAGUCGGUGGCUAAGCGAAAGCGAUAAGUUAUCCACCUGGGGAGUACGUUCGCAAGAAUGAAACUCAAAGGAAUUGACGGGGGCCCGCACAAGCGGAGGAACAUGUGGUUUAAUUCGAUGAUACGCGAGGAACCUUACCCGGGCUUGAAAGUUACUGACGAUUCUGGAAACAGGAUUUCCCUUCGGGGCAGGAAACUAGGUGCUGCAUGGUUGUCGUCAGCUCGUGCCGUGAGGUGUCGGGUUAAGUCCCAUAACGAGCGCAACCCCUACCGUUAGUUGCCAUCAGGUCAAGCUGGGCACUCUGGCGGGACUGCCGGUGUAAGCCGAGAGGAAGGUGGGGAUGACGUCAAAUCAGCACGGCCCUUACGUCCGGGGCUACACACGUGUUACAAUGGUAGGUACAGAGGGCAGCUACCCAGUGAUGGGAUGCGAAUCUCGAAAGCCUAUCUCAGUUCGGAUUGGAGGCUGAAACCCGCCUCCAUGAAGUUGGAUUCGCUAGUAAUCGCGCAUCAGCCAUGGCGCGGUGAAUACGUUCCCG
Molecule: ribosomal RNA, 1017 nt
Filed under: uncultured bacterium
Lineage: Bacteria
Description: bacterial SSU rRNA
Rfam family: Bacterial small subunit ribosomal RNA
Source: RNAcentral